UGACCUAUUGCUUUUAUUUCUGCUACCAGUC
This 31-nucleotide non-coding RNA is filed under the name Mus musculus (house mouse). Lineage: Eukaryota; Metazoa; Chordata; Mammalia; Rodentia; Muridae. The record is from RNAcentral.